GGGCAUGUGGCUUAGUGGUAGAGUGCUUGCCUAGCAUGCAGGAAGCCCUGGGUUCAAUUCCUCAGUACCA
RNAcentral lists this transfer RNA (70 nucleotides) under Dipodomys ordii (Ord's kangaroo rat). It matches the Rfam family "tRNA". From Rfam's summary of the family: Transfer RNA (tRNA) molecules are approximately 80 nucleotides in length. Their secondary structure includes four short double-helical elements and three loops (D, anti-codon, and T loops). The record is from Rfam by way of RNAcentral. Lineage: Eukaryota; Metazoa; Chordata; Mammalia; Rodentia; Heteromyidae.